Long non-coding RNA from Acinonyx jubatus (cheetah), 1880 nucleotides. RefSeq lists it as uncharacterized. The transcript has 7 exons. Lineage: Eukaryota; Metazoa; Chordata; Mammalia; Carnivora; Felidae. The record is from RefSeq and is a predicted model, not a curated record.
UAACUGAGAUUAGGCAAGAGCACGGAAAAUGGAAUGCAGACAUUGCUAAAUAGCAUCAUUUCCAUGAAGAAUGUAAACACUGUCAUUCUUGAAACAAGACGUCCAAUUACACGAGGAUCAGUGAUUUAGUUAUUCCAGACCCUAGCUACUACAAUCCAGGAUAUCAAUCUCCCAGCAGAGCAACAAAAACUGGGUGGGAGGGGCGGUGCGUAUGGCCAGCUGGAGGAAGGAACCUGCAGUCAUCUUCCACUUAUAAAAAAGUGGCUAUCUUCAGUUAAGCAAUGUUCCAUGUAACUGAAUAAUCCUUCAUGGAGAUAUAUGAAGAGUCAGCAGUGUCACCCUGUAAAACGAAGGACUGUGAUAUAUUUUAUUAGUGUGCAGUUGUAGGGUCAAGAAUACUAGGGAAUAACAAGGAAGAGCCUGUCUUCUUCAUUCUCAGUCCUAGCAGUGCUGGCACACACUUAGAAGCUACCAGGAGCUAUUUUAAGGAUGAGGAAACUCAAGUACUGGCAGUUCCUAACCCCAGUGCCGGGUUAACCCAGGGGACCAAUUGACGCCCAGUACAACUGUUUCUCACUGCAGAAACUGCCAAGCCAUCAUAAUUUUAGCUCGUAUUAUGACGCAGAGAGGAAAACAAAAGGAUGAUUUAUUUGAAGAUUAAAACUGUGCCUAUUUUAUGGACUCUGUAAGCUGUUGGAAACUCAAUUUUCGAGCCCUUUGAACUCAGGGUUGCCUCCAGAGUAUUUAAGGCAACCAGACAGACAAACAGCCACCACCACCACCAAAACAGAGGAGUUAAAAGCCUGCUUGAAUCACAGGACAGACAAUGGCAGUGCAUGUGAGUGACCCAGUGUUGUAGCACAAGACCUCAGAGCUCCUCUUCGCACCCACAGGGAUUUUGCCGCAGCGUGGGUGAUUAAGGACUUCACAUCUGCGGCUGUGCGCCCGCCAGAAAGUCUAAAUCAAAGUUUCCUCGUGUCAGGUGCGCAUCGGCACCCAUUUCCACCCUUUCAAUAAAGCAGAGAAUUGCUUCCACUGCCCUUGUUUUUUUCCUGAAGAGAAUUCAAGAUACCAUUUACAGCUCUCAGUCUGUGUUCUGGAAAAGAGGGUAGAAGGCCUUAGCACCAGUGUGCCAGCCUUCUGGAAAUGGAACAUAAUUUGCUCAUGCCAAAAAGAUUUUGGUGAGGCUUUGGCAGCUAGCCUAUUUGUCUGUGUCAAGGAUUACACUGCUUAUCACUGAGUCCCGAUACCUAGCCUGACGUGCAGUACGUACUCAAAAGUUGAUGAAUGGGAGAAUAAACUGCUGGUUUUUAAACUAGAAUACCACUGGCUCUCCUAUGACAACAAGACCCUGGGACUUCUCAGCCUCCACAACUAUGAGAGCCAAUUCCUUAUAUACCACAGAACCUGGUCCUCACUGGAUGGAAGUACAAAUGGAUACUAAAUGGAUACUAUGCAAUAAAGACAUUAUUAGUAUGAACAAAGUGCUUAGUAAUGAAGAAGAGAGAAUGAUUGGUUCUCCCUGACAAAUGAGGCACUAAUUAUAAAGGGAUUUGAAGAUGGUGGCAUUUACUCUCUUCAUCUGCUUUAUCCUCCAGUCUGGAUACUGGUUUCUACUGCCCGAAGUUACUCAACCCUCAUCGUUGUGGUUACAUUUUUACACUAUCCAAGUAUUUGUAGCCAAGGAAGACAUUGAAAAGUGUACCUGAGAUUGAGGGAAGUAUUUACAACUCAAAAGGGAAGACACUAAGAAUAAAUCAUAAUCUUGAUAAUGUUAAAAGUUUACAUUUUUAACCCUGAAGAGCAGGAAUCCACAAUCUAUGGCCCACCAACUAUGUCUGUAAUAAUAAAGUUUUAUUGGUAUACUGCUAUGCUCAAUU